GGAUGAACGCUGGCGGCGUGCUUAACACAUGCAAGUCGAACGAUGAAGCCCAGCUUGCUGGGCGGAUUAGUGGCGAACGGGUGAGUAACACGUGAGUAACCUGCCCUUGACUCUGGGAUAAGCCUGGGAAACUGGGUCUAAUACCGGAUAGGAACGUCCACCGCAUGGUGGGUGUUGGAAAGAAUUUCGGUCAUGGAUGGACUCGCGGCCUAUCAGCUUGUUGGUGAGGUAAUGGCUCACCAAGGCGACGACGGGUAGCCGGCCUGAGAGGGUGACCGGCCACACUGGGACUGAGACACGGCCCAGACUCCUACGGGAGGCAGCAGUGGGGAAUAUUGCACAAUGGGCGAAAGCCUGAUGCAGCGACGCCGCGUGAGGGAUGACGGCCUUCGGGUUGUAAACCUCUUUCAGUAGGGAAGAAGCGAAAGUGACGGUACCUGCAGAAGAAGCACCGGCUAACUACGUGCCAGCAGCCGCGGUAAUACGUAGGGUGCGAGCGUUAUCCGGAAUUAUUGGGCGUAAAGAGCUCGUAGGCGGUUUGUCGCGUCUGUCGUGAAAGUCCGGGGCUUAACCCCGGAUCUGCGGUGGGUACGGGCAGACUAGAGUGCAGUAGGGGAGACUGGAAUUCCUGGUGUAGCGGUGGAAUGCGCAGAUAUCAGGAGGAACACCGAUGGCGAAGGCAGGUCUCUGGGCUGUAACUGACGCUGAGGAGCGAAAGCAUGGGGAGCGAACAGGAUUAGAUACCCUGGUAGUCCAUGCCGUAAACGUUGGGCACUAGGUGUGGGGGACAUUCCACGUUUUCCGCGCCGCAGCUAACGC
RNAcentral lists this ribosomal RNA (819 nucleotides) under Micrococcus luteus. Its description in RNAcentral is "bacterial SSU rRNA". It matches the Rfam family "Bacterial small subunit ribosomal RNA", at positions 27 to 858 of the family's 1533-position model. Lineage: Bacteria; Bacillati; Actinomycetota; Actinomycetes; Micrococcales; Micrococcaceae. The record is from RNAcentral.